RNAcentral lists this transfer RNA (85 nucleotides) under Aeromonas veronii. RNAcentral describes it as "tRNA-Leu". It matches the Rfam family "tRNA". From Rfam's summary of the family: Transfer RNA (tRNA) molecules are approximately 80 nucleotides in length. Their secondary structure includes four short double-helical elements and three loops (D, anti-codon, and T loops). Lineage: Bacteria; Pseudomonadati; Pseudomonadota; Gammaproteobacteria; Aeromonadales; Aeromonadaceae. RNAcentral also lists the same sequence under 1 other name. The record is from RNAcentral.
GCGAGAGUGGCGAAAUUGGUAGACGCGCAGUGUUGAGGUCGCUGUGGAUAUAUCCGUGAGGGUUCGAGUCCCUUCUCUCGCACCA